This 495-nucleotide ribosomal RNA is filed under the name uncultured bacterium. Its description in RNAcentral is "partial 16S ribosomal RNA". It matches the Rfam family "Bacterial small subunit ribosomal RNA", at positions 29 to 506 of the family's 1533-position model. The record is from RNAcentral.
AUGAACGCUGGCGGCGUGCCUAAUACAUGCAAGUCGAGCGAACAGAUGAGGAGCUUGCUCCUCUGACGUUAGCGGCGGACGGGUGAGUAACACGUGGAUAACCUACCUAUAAGACUGGGAUAACUUCGGGAAACCGGAGCUAAUACCGGAUAAUAUAUUGAACCGCAUGGUUCAAUAGUGAAAGACGGUUUUGCUGUCACUUAUAGAUGGAUCCGCGCCGCAUUAGCUAGUUGGUAAGGUAACGGCUUACCAAGGCAACGAUGCGUAGCCGACCUGAGAGGGUGAUCGGCCAAACUGGAACUGAGACACGGUCCAGACUCCUAAGGGAGGCAGGAGUAGGGAAUCUUCCGCAAUGGGCGAAAGCCUGACGGAGCAACGCCGCGUGAGUGAUGAAGGUCUUCGGAUCGUAAAACUCUGUUAUUAGGGAAGAACAAAUGUGUAAGUAACUAUGCACGUCUUGACGGUACCUAAUCAGAAAGCCACGGCUAACUACGU